RNAcentral lists this ribosomal RNA (329 nucleotides) under uncultured eukaryote. Its description in RNAcentral is "partial 18S ribosomal RNA". It matches the Rfam family "Eukaryotic small subunit ribosomal RNA", at positions 1470 to 1796 of the family's 1831-position model. The record is from RNAcentral.
CCCUUAGAUGUUCUGGGCUGCACACGUGCUACACUGGCAGGUUCAGCGAGCUUCAUGCCCUGAUCUGAAAGGAAUGGGAAAUCUUUUCAAAACCUGCCGUGCUUGGGAUAGAUGUUUGCAAUUAUUCAUCUUCAACGAGGAAUACCUUGUAAGCGCGGGUCAUCAUCCCGCGCUGAAUACGUCCCUGCCCUUUGUACACACCGCCCGUCGCUCCUACCGAUUGAGUGGUCCGGUGAGGCUUUGGGAUCUGAGCGGAAAGAGCGUUUCGCUGUUUCUGCCCGGAAAACUCAGUCGAACCUUAUCAUUUAGAGGAAGGAGAAGUCGUAACA